This 253-nucleotide ribosomal RNA is filed under the name uncultured bacterium. RNAcentral's name for it is "partial 16S ribosomal RNA". It matches the Rfam family "Bacterial small subunit ribosomal RNA", at positions 524 to 776 of the family's 1533-position model. The record is from RNAcentral.
UACGAAGGGGGCUAGCGUUGUUCGGAAUUACUGGGCGUAAAGAGCGCGCAGGCGGCUAUCCAAGUCAGUGGUGAAAGCCCGGAGCUCAACUCCGGAACUGCCAUUGAAACUGUUUAGCUUGAGGAUGAAAGAGGUGAGUGGAAUUCCCAGUGUAGAGGUGAAAUUCGUAGAUAUUGGGAAGAACACCGGUGGCGAAGGCGGCUCACUGGCUCAGUACUGACGCUCAGGCGCGAUAGCGUGGGGAGCAAACAGG